CCCCAGUCCAGGAAAGUUAAUCAGAAUCACUUGGAUAUAGGUAGUUUCGAAAGCUCCCCAGGUGAUCCUCAUGUAUUGCCACAGCUGAGAAUCAUUGCCUCUGUUAGUUGCUCUGCCCAUCUAAUUGAAAUAGAUUCUCUCAGGUGUCGCUGAAUAAGGACCAGGUUUACUUAAGCUCACCAUUUCUGUAGAAAUUUAGAUUCUGGUAACCACUAUCAGGAGAUCUGUAUUAGGUCAGUUCACUCAACCCUGGCUUUCCUAUUUCAGCUUCCUUUGCAACUCUGUCAGUGGAAGACAAGUUGGGGUAGACAGGGUACAAGGACAGCAUGGAAGAAAGAAAAAAAUGCAUCCCAUUUUUUGUUAUUUUCUCAACAGUCUCUGAAAGAAAAGAAAAAGAAGUGUAGCUCUCUGUAUCCGACAAAAUGGCGCAUAAUCAUCUGUGAAAAUUGGAGAGUGUGCUCCUCUUACUUAUAAAAAAAAUAGUGAACUGUAAAACAGCCUCAGGCAUGUCCUUCAGGAGGAUUCCAGAAUAAGGCAUUGUUAUCAUAGGAGAUGACAGUUCCAUGCAUGUUAUUGCCCCUGAAGACUUUCCAGUGGGACAAGAUGUGGAGAUGAAGACAGUGAUACUGAUGGUCCUGACCCUGUGUAGGCCUUGGGUCUGCAUGCUUCUCAAAUUGAGCUGUAACACUCACUGCUGCGGUCCAAGCCUUCAUUCUUUGAAGCCCGUGGAACCACAAACUCUUCAAUUGAUAAAAACCUUCGAUCGGAAGAGACUUCUCAUCUCAUUUCUGGGGGCCUGUCCGGGAUUUCUCUGAAGUGAAUAGAAUCCAUGAAACUGCAAGUGGUUCUACAAAUGGAGCCCCAAAUGACCACCACUAGCACCUACUAUCGAGGACCCCUAGACUGACCUACCAACCUGUUCUAACACCACGACACUGAAGAAGACUCCCCUCCUGAGGAACCCUCAACUGCAGAUCCCCUUCUGUGCCCCAGUUCAGCAGGAAGUAGCUAGAAUGAUCAUUGCCCAACUUCUCAACAGCACUUGGGCUUUCCUGUUGAGAGGGGGUACUGAGGCACUAAGUGGCUAAGUUAGCUAGACUUCCUGGGUCAACAGGGACUUCCCUAAGGGGACAUUCCUCUAAGCCAAAAUGAGUCAUAGCUGCAAGCUAAGGGAUUGAAACUUCAACCAAUCAAAGGGGACUUUCUCCUAAGCAAAAAUGAGUCACUGCUGCAAACUAAGUGAUUGAAACUUCACCCAAUCAUAUAGGGAGUUUAAGCUUUAGCUGCAGCCUGAUGUUUUUAACCAAUCAGGCCUGCCAACCCACAAGCAGAUAGAAAAUAAGCUAAUCCUAUGGGACAGAAAAAGGAAAAGGGGAGGAGUCAUAAGAGGAUAUAAGCAUAAGACACCCAAGCCAGAAACGGAAACCCUUCCGGGUCUCCUUCCACCACGUGGAAGCUUUACUUUUGCUUUUACUUUACUUUCACUUUAAUAAACCUUGGCGCUGCACACUCUUUGGGUCUGUACGUUUCUCUAAUUGAGCUGUAACACUCGCCGCUGUGGUCCACGGCUUCAUUCCUUGAAGCCUGUGAGACCACGAACCCUUCAAUUGAGAAAAACCUUCAAUCAGAAGAAGACUUCUUGUCUCAAUAUCACUUCCUUCGAAAACAUAAUUCAAGAGUUAUUCACAUCAUAGUUAUUUUUCACUCCCCGCUAAUAGCAGGAGUCACUUCCAAUAUACUAGAAUUUCAAAAAGGAACUGUAACUUAUAGUUUACAGUCAGUGUUUGUUUGAAAUGUAAAGCCUGACCAUUCAACUGCCAUGAUUGAAGCACUCUGAAAGACUUCCAUGGCCUUAGGAUAAAGUUCAUCCUCCUUUACAAGGAGCACAAGACCCUUAGAAUUCCAGACCCUGAUUUAGUCUUCAUCUUAUACGAAUGCUGCCCGGCAUGCUUCAUUUAGUUCUGCAAUAAACAGAGCAUACAGCAUGGUUGUGGAUCUCACUAGAGACCCAAAGAAAACAUCCCACAGGAAAUGAUGAAAAAUAAUAAGAGCAUUAUAUGUAUUGGAGCGUGGACCAGGCAGUUGAAGUGGAAAACACA
This 2099-nucleotide long non-coding RNA is filed under the name Homo sapiens (human). RNAcentral describes it as "HSALNT0112112". The record is from RNAcentral. Lineage: Eukaryota; Metazoa; Chordata; Mammalia; Primates; Hominidae.